This 513-nucleotide ribosomal RNA is filed under the name uncultured bacterium. RNAcentral describes it as "bacterial SSU rRNA". It matches the Rfam family "Bacterial small subunit ribosomal RNA", at positions 28 to 534 of the family's 1533-position model. The record is from RNAcentral.
GAUGAACGCUAGCGGGAGGCUUAACACAUGCAAGUCGAGGGGCAGCAUAGGGUAGCAAUACUCUGAUGGCGACCGGCAAACGGGUGAGUAACGCGUAUGCAACCUACCCUGUACAGGGGGAUAACCCGGAGAAAUUCGGACUAAUAUCCCGUAAUAAUAUCCGGAGGCAUCUUUGGAUAUUUAAAGUUUCGACGGUACGGGAUGGGCAUGCGUAACAUUAGCUGGUUGGUAAGGUAACGGCUUACCAAGGCUAUGAUGUUUAGGGGUCCUGAGAGGGUGGUCCCCCACACUGGUACUGAGACACGGACCAGACUCCUACGGGAGGCAGCAGUGAGGAAUAUUGGUCAAUGGGCGCAAGCCUGAACCAGCCAUCCCGCGUGCAGGAAGACGGCCCUAUGGGUUGUAAACUGCUUUUCCAGGGAGAGAAACUUACGCACGUGUUGCGUGACUGACGGUACCCUGGGAAUAAGCAUCGGCUAACUCCGUGCCAGCAGCCGCGGUAAUCGUAGCGUG